CAGUCGCCACGGGAAUACAGAGGGUGCGAGCGUUAAUCGGAUUUACUGGGCGUAAAGCGUGCGUAGGCGGCUUCUUAAGUCGGAUGUGAAAUCCCUGAGCUUAACUUAGGAAUUGCAUUCGAUACUGGGAAGCUAGAGUAUGGGAGAGGAUGGUAGAAUUCCAGGUGUAGCGGUGAAAUGCGUAGAGAUCUGGAGGAAUACCGAUGGCGAAGGCAGCCAUCUGGCCUAACACUGACGCUGAGGUACGAAAGCAUGGGGAGCAAACAGGAUUAGAUACCCGAGUAGUCCCUGUCUCUUAUAC
Molecule: ribosomal RNA, 301 nt
Filed under: uncultured bacterium
Lineage: Bacteria
Description: partial 16S ribosomal RNA
Rfam family: Bacterial small subunit ribosomal RNA
Source: RNAcentral